GUGAGGAAUAUUGGUCAAUGGACGAGAGCCUGAACCAGCCAAGUCGCGUGAAGGAAGAAGGAUCUAUGGUUCGUAAACUUCUUUUGCAGGGGAAUAAAGUGCAGGACGUGUCCUGUUUUGUAUGUACCCUGAGAAUAAGGAUCGGCUAACUCCGUGCCAGCAGCCGCGGUAAUACGGAGGAUCCGAGCGUUAUCCGGAUUUAUUGGGUUUAAAGGGUGCGUAGGUGGUUUGAUAAGUCAGCGGUGAAAGUUUGCAGCUUAACUGUAAAAAUGCCGUUGAAACUGGCGGACUUGAGUGUAAAUGAGGUAGGCGGAAUGCGUGGUGUAGCGGUGAAAUGCAUAGAUAUCACGCAGAACUCCGAUUGCGAAGGCAGCUUACUAAGCUACAACUGACACUGAAGCACGAAAGCGUGGGGAUCAAACAGGAUUAGAAACCCGGGUAGUCC
This 445-nucleotide ribosomal RNA is filed under the name uncultured bacterium. Its description in RNAcentral is "partial 16S ribosomal RNA". It matches the Rfam family "Bacterial small subunit ribosomal RNA", at positions 354 to 796 of the family's 1533-position model. The record is from RNAcentral.